Molecule: non-coding RNA, 729 nt
Organism: Gadus macrocephalus (Pacific cod)
Lineage: Eukaryota; Metazoa; Chordata; Actinopteri; Gadiformes; Gadidae
Source: the annotation of a RefSeq genome assembly
AUGAGUCUGGGACCCCCCCAGCCUCUUAAUGAGUUUGUAUCACUGUGGUGGACUUUUGGUGGAGGCACCAAACUCAUCGUUGACUUGGGAGUGGUGCAGCCCACGCUGAGCGUCCUCCCUCCCUCCAGAGUGGAGCUGGAGCAGGGCAGUGCUACACUAGUGUGUGUGGCCAGUGGGGGCUUCCCCUCAGACUGGAAGCUUGGCUGGAAGGUGGGGGGCAGCAGCAGGUCUGGGGGGGUGUCUGAUAGCCUGGGGGUCCUGGGGAAAGAUGGCCACUACAGCUGGAGCAGCACCUUGACCCUCCCUGCAGACCAGUGGAGGAAGGCGGGCUCAGUGAGCUGCGAGGCCAGUAAGAAUGGCCAGACGCAGCCUGUCACUCAAACCCUGAAUCCUGGAGAGUGUUCAGAGUAGAGAGGCUCCAGCAUGGAGGUACUGGAGGAUACAGAUCUCCUCUGACACGUCUGCUUUAUGUCUCUCUGUCUCAGGUGGCACCGCAGCUUCUGUUGAUUUACAUUGAUAUAACACGUAUUUGAUUCAUUAACAUGAUGCUCUUUAGAUUUUACCCCUUGCUUGUGUUGGUCACAUGUUGAACAUUUAAUAAAGAUUUAAAGAAGAAAUUCUUCAUUGUCAUCAUUAAAUAUCAUUUAUCUUCUGUAUUUGAAAUUGAAUGCUGCUUCUAAUGAGCAUAUAAAACCUCUGCUAUCUUCAUUAAACAAAUUUCACAACCAU